UACGAAGGGGGCUAGCGUUGCUCGGAAUCACUGGGCGGAAAGCGCACGUAGGCGGACUCUUAAGUCAGGGGUGAAAUCCUGGAGCUCAACUCCAGAACUGCCUUUGAUACUGAGAGCCUUGAGUUCGGGAGAGGUGAGUGGAACUGCGAGUGUAGAGGUGAAAUUCGUAGAUAUUCGCAAGAACACCAGUGGCGAAGGCGGCUCACUGGCCCGAUACUGACGCUGAGGUGCGAAAGCGUGGGGAGCAAACAGG
Molecule: ribosomal RNA, 253 nt
Filed under: uncultured bacterium
Lineage: Bacteria
Description: partial 16S ribosomal RNA
Rfam family: Bacterial small subunit ribosomal RNA
Source: RNAcentral